UACGUAGGGUGCGAGCGUUGUCCGGAAUUACUGGGCGUAAAGGGCUCGUAGGUGGCCAACUAAGUCAGACGUGAAAUCCCUCAGCUUAACUGGGGAACUGCGUCUGAUACUGGAUGGCUUGAGUUUGGGAGAGGGAUGCGGAAUUCCAGGUGUAGCGGUGAAAUGCGUUGAGAUCGGAAGGAACGCCCGUGGCGAAAGCGAGUCCCUGGACGUCGGCUGACGCUGAGACGCGAAAGCCAGGGGAGCGAACGGG
This 253-nucleotide ribosomal RNA is filed under the name uncultured bacterium. RNAcentral describes it as "partial 16S ribosomal RNA". It matches the Rfam family "Bacterial small subunit ribosomal RNA", at positions 524 to 776 of the family's 1533-position model. The record is from RNAcentral.